UGGGGAGGAUAGGGAGAAAGGGU
RNAcentral lists this microRNA (23 nucleotides) under Gallus gallus (chicken). RNAcentral's name for it is "gga-miR-12283-5p". The record is from miRBase by way of RNAcentral. Lineage: Eukaryota; Metazoa; Chordata; Aves; Galliformes; Phasianidae.